RNAcentral lists this ribosomal RNA (468 nucleotides) under uncultured bacterium. RNAcentral describes it as "partial 16S ribosomal RNA". It matches the Rfam family "Bacterial small subunit ribosomal RNA", at positions 28 to 507 of the family's 1533-position model. The record is from RNAcentral.
GACGGACGCUGGCGGCGUGCUUAACACAUGCAAGUCGAACGGAAAGGCCCUGCUUUUGUGGGGUGCUCGAGUGGCGAACGGGUGAGUAACACGUGAGUAACCUGCCCUUGACUUUGGGAUAACUUCAGGAAACUGGGGCUAAUACCAGAUAGGAGCUCCUGCUGCAUGGUGGGGGUUGGAAAGUUUCGGCGGUUGGGGAUGGACUCGCGGCUUAUCAGCUUGUUGGUGGGGUAGUGGCUUACCAAGGCUUUGACGGGUAGCCGGCCUGAGAGGGUGACCGGCCACAUUGGGACUGAGAUACGGCCCAGACUCCUACGGGAGGCAGCAGUGGGGAAUAUUGCACAAUGGGCGGAAGCCUGAUGCAGCAACGCCGCGUGCGGGAUGACGGCCUUCGGGUUGUAAACCGCUUUCGCCUGUGACGAAGCGUGAGUGACGGUAAUGGGUAAAGAAGCACCGGCUAACUACGUG